RNAcentral lists this ribosomal RNA (794 nucleotides) under uncultured bacterium. RNAcentral describes it as "bacterial SSU rRNA". It matches the Rfam family "Bacterial small subunit ribosomal RNA", at positions 8 to 796 of the family's 1533-position model. The record is from RNAcentral.
AGAGUUUGAUCAUGGCUCAGGAUGAACGCUAGCGGGAGGCUUAACACAUGCAAGUCGAGGGGCAGCACGAGGUAGCAAUACUUUGGUGGCGACCGGCGCACGGGUGAGUAACGCGUAUGUAACCUACCCUGUACAGGGGGAUAGCCCGGAGAAAUUCGGAUUAAUACUCCAUAAUGAUAUUUAGAGGCAUCUUUGAAUAUUUAAAGUUUUAACGGUACAGGAUGGGCAUGCGUAACAUUAGCUAGUUGGUAGGGUAAUGGCCUACCAAGGCGACGAUGUUUAGGGGUCCUGAGAGGGUGAUCCCCCACACUGGUACUGAGACACGGACCAGACUCCUACGGGAGGCAGCAGUGAGGAAUAUUGGUCAAUGGGCGUAAGCCUGAACCAGCCAUCCCGCGUGCAGGAAGACGGCGCUAUGCGUUGUAAACUGCUUUUCCAGGGGAAGAAAACCCGCUACGUGUAGUGGCUUGCCGGUACCCUGGGAAUAAGCAUCGGCUAACUCCGUGCCAGCAGCCGCGGUAAUACGGAGGAUGCGAGCGUUAUCCGGAUUUAUUGGGUUUAAAGGGUGCGUAGGCGGGAUUAAUAAGUCAGUGGUGAAAACCUGCAGCUUAACUGUAGACUUGCCAUUGAUACUGUUAGUCUUGAGUGUGGUCAAGGUAGGCGGAAUGUAAUGUAGCGGUGAAAUGCUUAGAUAUUACACAGAACACCGAUUGCGAAGGCAGCUUACUGGGCCAUUACUGACGCUGAUGCACGAAAGCGUGGGGAGCGAACAGGAUUAGAUACCCUAGUAGUCC